Molecule: ribosomal RNA, 424 nt
Filed under: uncultured bacterium
Lineage: Bacteria
Description: bacterial SSU rRNA
Rfam family: Bacterial small subunit ribosomal RNA
Source: RNAcentral
GGGGAAUUUUGGACAAUGGGGGCAACCCUGAUCCAGCCAUUCCGCGUGAGUGAAGAAGGCCUUCGGGUUGUAAAGCUCUUUUGUCCGGAACGAAACGGGUAGCGUGAAUAUCGCUGCCUACUGACGGUACCGGAAGAAUAAGCACCGGCUAACUCCGUGCCAGCAGCCGCGGUAAUACGGAGGGUGCAAGCGUUGUCCGGAUUUAUUGGGUUUAAAGGGUGCGUAGGCGGCUUAUUAAGUCAGGGGUGAAAGACUAUUGCUUAACAAUGGCAGUGCCUUUGAUACUGAUAGGCUUGAGUACAGCUGAAGCAGAUGGAACGGGUGGUGUAGCGGUGAAAUGCAUAGAUACCAUCCAGAACACCGAUUGCGAAGGCAGUCUGCUAAACUGUAACUGACGCUGAGGCACGAAAGCGUGGGGAUCGAA